Phrynosoma platyrhinos (Desert horned lizard) is the source of this 71-nucleotide non-coding RNA. The record is from the annotation of a GenBank genome assembly. NCBI's taxonomy places the organism in Eukaryota, Metazoa, Chordata, Lepidosauria, Squamata, Phrynosomatidae.
GCCCUGGUGGCAUGGUGGUUAAAUGCUGGUACUGCAACUACAAGGUUUUGAGUUCGAUCCCAGGCAGGGCU